RNAcentral lists this ribosomal RNA (301 nucleotides) under uncultured bacterium. RNAcentral's name for it is "partial 16S ribosomal RNA". It matches the Rfam family "Bacterial small subunit ribosomal RNA", at positions 509 to 807 of the family's 1533-position model. The record is from RNAcentral.
CAGCAGCCGCGGUAAUACAGAGGGUGCGAGCGUUAAUCGGAUUUACUGGGCGUAAAGCGCGCGUAGGUGGUUUGGUAAGAUGGAUGUGAAAUCCCCGGGCUCAACCUGGGAACUGCAUCCAUAACUGCCUGACUAGAGUACGGUAGAGGGUGGUGGAAUUUCCUGUGUAGCGGUGAAAUGCGUAGAUAUAGGAAGGAACACCAGUGGCGAAGGCGACCACCUGGACUGAUACUGACACUGAGGUGCGAAAGCGUGGGGAGCAAACAGGAUUAGAUACCCGUGUAGUCCCUGUCUCUUAUAC